Mesocricetus auratus (golden hamster) is the source of this 3519-nucleotide long non-coding RNA. RefSeq lists it as uncharacterized. The record is from RefSeq and is a predicted model, not a curated record. NCBI's taxonomy places the organism in Eukaryota, Metazoa, Chordata, Mammalia, Rodentia, Cricetidae. The transcript is spliced from 3 exons.
GGAACUCUCGGUGGGUGGGGACCAGUGGCGAACAAGAGGAAGUGGGCGGGCGGAGGAUGCAGAAUUGCCCUCCCAGGCAACCCAAAAGGCUCUGCCAGGGUGGGACCGCCGAGGUUUGCAUGACGCCAGAAUGCUUCCUUCUUGGACUAAGGCUGCUUAACUCGCUGUACCUUCCCUACCUAGUCUCUUACUAGAUCCAGACACCUUGUCUUCCUUGGAAGGAACCAGAAAGGAGGUCCAAGGCCUGCUGGGAUGGGUGUAAGACGGGGCGUUUGGCUGUGCAUUUCUCCCUCUAUUUGGGGGGCUCAGAUCAAGAAACAGUCGCCUCCCCAGCUCUUCCCUCCCUCGUUACUUUCCCAGAACUGCUAUAACCAGAUACGACAAACUAGGGAGCCUGAAGUAACGUUAUCAUUCCAUACGUCUGGGGGUUAGAAGUCAGAAUUCCAGUGGGGCUUCGAGUCUGGGUGUGACCCCUCCCUACCUCCUCCUGGCUUCUGGCAACUGGUUGCUGUCAAUCAUUUGGUGUCCCUUAGCUUGCAGCUGAGUAGCAACCCCACUGCUCUCUCCACCUUUACACGGCGCUGUCCCUUGUGAAUCCGUGUUAAAAUCCCCCGCCUCUUGUAAGAUACCCACCACGUUGGAUUAGGCGUCACCUUCACCCUCAAGCUCUAACUUGAUUACAUCUUCGAAGAUUAAUUCCCGGAUCACAUUUUCAUGUUGUAGGGAUCAGGUCUUCACCACAGCUUUUGGGAGGACACAGCUCAGCUUAAAAUCCCAGCCUGGUUUCAAACUCCUCACGCAGCCAAGGAGGAUUGUGAAUUGGUGCUUCUCCUGUCUCUACCUCCUGAGUGCUGGGAUUGCAGGCAUGUGUCACUAGGCCAGAUUCCGUGGUGCUGGGGUCAAACCCAGGGAUCUGUGUCUGCUCGACGAGCAUUCUGGCAACUGAGCAAUAUUCCCAGCCCCUCUUUAGGAUUCUUUAAACCACCUGAAAUGUCAUAUCUCAGGAAACAGUCCAAGAAGUAGGCAUGCCCCCUCCUGAGGGUCCCCACCCACCACCACCAAAUCCCAAAUGGAAGGGAGCCAGAGUCUCCUCUGCUCUCCUACUGUCCUGGCCUCACCAGAUGCCGCAUGAUGUGGGAGCAAACAGGAUGUCAUCAUCACAGCCGUGGUCCACGGAGAGGUGACCCUGAGCCAAGCCUGAGCUCACCAACACCGGAAGAGCGACCUGUCACGCCCGCCCGUCUCACGGAUGAGGAAAGUGGAGGGUGAGCACAUCCAGAGAAGGACCUCACGAAGAUUACCAACCUCCUCUCACAGGACGUCCACGAGUCACAAUAAAAACACAGCGGCCUACGGAGUGCCAUCAGAAGCCAGACGACACUGGCUUGUUUUUUCAUUUAGCCCCUUUGGAAACCCCUUGUUUCCUUUUUGCUUUUCUGAGUCAGGGUCUCAUGAGAUCCAGUCUUGCCUUAAACUCCUGAAGCAGCCAACAAUGACUUUGAAAUCCCAAUUCUCCUGCCUCUGCCUCUGAAUGCUGGAGUUACGGGCGUGCGCCACCGCACGGGGCUCUGUUUCUGUCUUUCAGAAAGUGACAUAGGGGUCCAAAGAAGUAAAGGGACUGAACUAACAGCUCAUAGACCUCGGGGCUAGGCGUCCCCCGCCACAGUCUGUGCAGAGAGGGCACCAGCAGGGGUUCCUGUGGCCGUGGGCUGCUCAGGGACCACGAAAGAAGCCAUAUCACGCCGGGCCAGCUGCAUGCGCGCCCACUCUGUGAGGUCAGCACACAGCAGGCUCUCACUGUUCCUGGCCACACGCUGGCAUGCAGAGGCCUCCGGUGUAGCCUUCCAUAAUGGUCACCUGAUCCCAGAGCCGGUGGGCACGAGGCCUGAAAUGUUUUUGCUCUGACGACCAACUGGCCUGACAGACAGACAGGCAGGUGAUUAGAGGAGACAGAGCAGGGCAUGGGGGGAGGGUUGGGAUGAAGGAAUCCCCUCUCUCCCGGAAUCACUGAUCGCCUGGCUGGGGCCUCUUGAGUGACAGUGACAUUCUCCAGGGAUUAAGCAUGGAGUGUGGAAGCCGGGUCUCCCCAGGGGGUGCAGAGCCCCAUGGAACUUAAAUCAUGCAAUUAGCCUGCAGCUAAUAUUUCUCCCACAUGCACGCCAUGCCUCCCUCACCACCCGUGAGAAAGUCAGUAGUGACUGGCUUUUAACCCAAAGCUGUAUGGGGUCCUGCCUUGAGUUUCUUCUAAACAGAAAAUGAGAGAACACCUUUUCUGGCUCAUCCAGGCCUGCCUCAAAACGCUUUCCUCCAGAGGGAGCCAGGUCCAGACAAGCCUGCACUCUGCUGCUCGAGUCACUGGGAUUCUGGACCCAGCCUGUACUGGGUUUGUGGCCAGGUCCCCAUCAAGCGACAGAGGGAAGCACUGUACCCCUGCUUGAGACAAUGGUGCUUUGGGAGGAGGCAGAGAUACCGACAUCACUGGUGUGGGGUAACUUUGUUUCUGUUGUAGACGUGGGGUGUGCACAGUGCUCUAGAACCCGGGUUUCUGGACUCCCAACCCACAGCCUCUUUGACCACAAUAAAGUACCUGCCACAGGCUUGUCAGAGGACAAAGGGUCUGGCCGGUAAAUUCCCAGCCAAUGAGAUGGAGGCGAAGCUCUCUUGGGCAGCCAAUGAGAGAUGUCCUCUGAGUUGUUAGGCAGAAAAGAGCCUAACUUGGGUCAUGUCCUCACCGGUCCUCAGCUAAAGUUCCCUGCCUGUCUGUCUCCUCCACACUCAAAUGUGUGUCCAGUCCCAUGAGUAACCACAGUAUUUUUAAACAGCAUCUUUGGGCCAGGCUCUCCUGUUUGUUUGUUGUUGUUUUUCAGAGGUGAUUCUAUGAGAAGCCGGGAUGGAGCUCUUGAUUGAUUGCUCACAAACAUCUGCAGGGAUGGCACGGGGAGAGGAGAGACUGGCAAGCUCGUAAUGCCACCCCCAAGGGGCCAAGACAAAGAACGAUGAGCAGAGAACGAGGAGGUCUUUCUCCCAGCUUUGCUGGCUUCGGGAGCACCAGACUUUACCACCUCCCGGUGGACGUAUCCGAGGGCAGCACAUCUGAAACGGCCCCCUCUGCAGAGGACCAGGUGCACCAGCCGGAAAGGCAGGCGACUUCCCCUGCAAAUAGAGGACAGAGGGGACACAGACUGAGCCCGGAGCCUCAGCUCUUGCGCUCAGCGUCCUGGAAAAGCUGCACAUGCUCUCCAAGCUUCUCUGUCUGCAGAGUGGUGGCUUUAAAUGAGCAGGCGUGAGAAAACAGAACCUGAAACUCAGUAAUGUUAGUUAUUCAGGGUUCAAGACAAGGCAGGGUGCCAGUGUCACAGCAAGUUUGAGAACGGUUGACGACCCUGGAGUAACAAGAGAGCAGGGUGUAUUUCUGCUUCCUUUCUACCACCUCCCCAAGGUUCCUUCAUUUCUUUAGAUGUCCCCAAGACAAUUCCCAUACUGCCUGCUAGUUUACAGACCUCAGAGGGCUGACGGCGG